RNAcentral lists this transfer RNA (115 nucleotides) under Candidatus Naiadarchaeum limnaeum. RNAcentral's name for it is "tRNA-Arg". Lineage: Archaea; Nanobdellati; Candidatus Undinarchaeota; Candidatus Undinarchaeia; Candidatus Naiadarchaeales; Candidatus Naiadarchaeaceae. The record is from RNAcentral.
GGACCCGUGGUCUAACCUGGAUUAGGACAAGAGGCUUCGGACCUCUUAAUGGGGGUUCAAACGCUCUCGCUGACGCUCGGUGUAUUCAGCAGAGCUGAAUAUCCCCUCGGGUCCA